UAUUUAUUUUUUUAUAUUACUCCCCCACAUCUCAUUUGCUGUGGACAUGACCACAAAACAUUUUUCCCACUAGGUUUUCUUUCUGCUACAUUGUUAGCAUUUGGCCUAUUGGGAACAUUU
RNAcentral lists this small nucleolar RNA (120 nucleotides) under Myotis brandtii (Brandt's bat). RNAcentral describes it as "Small nucleolar RNA SNORA32". It matches the Rfam family "Small nucleolar RNA SNORA32". From Rfam's summary of the family: ACA32 is a member of the H/ACA class of snoRNA that guide the sites of modification of uridines to pseudouridines. Lineage: Eukaryota; Metazoa; Chordata; Mammalia; Chiroptera; Vespertilionidae. The record is from Rfam by way of RNAcentral.